CCUACGGGAGGCAGCAGUGGGGAAUUUUGGACAAUGGGCGAAAGCCUGAUCCAGCAAUGCCGCGUGAGUGAAGAAGGCCUUCGGGUUGUAAAGCUCUUUUGUCAGGGAAGAAACGGUGAGAGCUAAUAUCUCUUGCUAAUGACGGUACCUGAAGAAUAAGCACCGGCUAACUACGUGCCAGCAGCCGCGGUAAUACGUAGGGUGCAAGCGUUAAUCGGAAUUACUGGGCGUAAAGCGUGCGCAGGCGGUUUUGUAAGUCUGAUGUGAAAUCCCCGGGCUCAACCUGGGAAUUGCAUUGGAGACUGCAAGGCUAGAAUCUGGCAGAGGGGGGGUAGAAUUCCACGUGUAGCAGUGAAAUGCGUAGAUAUGUGGAGGAACACCGAUGGCGAAGGCAGCCCCCUGGGUCAAGAUUGACGCUCAUGCACGAAAGCGUGGGGAGCAAACAGGAUUAGAUACCCUGGUAGUCCACGCCCUAAACGAUGUCUACUAGUUGUCGGUCUUAAUUGACUUGGUAACGCAGCUAACGCGUGAGUAGACCGCCUGGGGAGUACGGUCGCAGAUUAAAACUCAAAGGAUUGACGG
Molecule: ribosomal RNA, 582 nt
Filed under: uncultured bacterium
Lineage: Bacteria
Description: bacterial SSU rRNA
Rfam family: Bacterial small subunit ribosomal RNA
Source: RNAcentral